AAUUAGGUUGGUGGAAAAGUAAUAGCGGUUUUUGCCAUUGAAAAUAAUGGCAAAACCCGCAAUUACUUUUCCACCAACCUAAUA
Molecule: microRNA precursor, 84 nt
Filed under: Papio anubis (olive baboon)
Lineage: Eukaryota; Metazoa; Chordata; Mammalia; Primates; Cercopithecidae
Also listed under: 1 other name
Description: mir-548 microRNA precursor family
Rfam family: mir-548 microRNA precursor family
Source: Rfam by way of RNAcentral